AAAGCGUCCGUAGCCGGCCGAUCGGGUCCGUCGGGAAAUCCGCGUGCUCAACGCGCGGGCGAUCGGCGGAAACCAAUCGGCUUGGGGCCGGAAGACUCGAGGGGUACGUCUGGGGUAGGAGUGAAAUCCCGUAAUCCUGGACGGACCGCCGAUGGCGAAAGCACCUCGAGAAGACGGACCCGACGGUGAGGGACGAAAGCCAGGCUCUCGAACC
RNAcentral lists this ribosomal RNA (214 nucleotides) under uncultured archaeon. RNAcentral describes it as "partial 16S ribosomal RNA". It matches the Rfam family "Archaeal small subunit ribosomal RNA", at positions 512 to 725 of the family's 1478-position model. The record is from RNAcentral.